GCUUGAAUCUCUGGGGAGGAGCUGAUAAAAAUUAUCGUAAAGCCACUGAGAGAUUUGAUGUCGUUUCGGAGCAAGGAAAUCGUGGAGAAAUAAGAGGUGAGAAGAAGGGUGAAAGGAGUUUGAAAGAAGAGUGGAAAGUCAUAUUUUUUGGUGGGGUCCCCAGUCUCCUAGGUUCAACAUGUUCUUCAGUAUGACCCUGGGACUGAAAUAAAACCAUUCAUCCUAGAGAGAGGCUGCUAAGGACAUCGGAAAAAGAAUUUGUUUACCAGAGCUGAAGCAGCCUUACAACCACCAUGAGGGAAGGGCCAAGAGAAUAGCAGAGACCUCCAUGUUGACAUUCUUUUUAAAAAAAAUUUUUUUAUUUCCAUAAGUUUUGGGUAGAACAGGUGGUAUU
Molecule: long non-coding RNA, 394 nt
Organism: Nomascus leucogenys (northern white-cheeked gibbon)
Lineage: Eukaryota; Metazoa; Chordata; Mammalia; Primates; Hylobatidae
Exons: 4
Source: RefSeq, a predicted model, not a curated record